UACUCCGAUUGAAUGGCUUAGUGAGGUCUUGGGAUUGGCUUCGGGAAGCCGGCAACGGCAUCCUGUCGCUGAGAACUUGAUCAAACUUGGUCAUUUAGAGGAAGUAAAAGUCGUAACAAGGUUUCCGUAGGUGAACCUGCGGAAGGAUCAUUAUCGAGUUUUGACUGGGUUGUAGCUGGCCUUCCGAGGCAUGUGCACGCCCUGCUCAUCCACUCUACACCUGUGCACUUACUGUGGGUUUUACGGGUCGUGAAAUGGGCUCGUUCAUUCGGGCUUGUUGAGCGCACUUGUUGCCUGCGUUUAUCACAAACUCCAUAAAGUAUUAGAAUGUGUAUUGCGAUGUAACGCAUCUAUAUACAACUUUCAGCAACGGAUCUCUUGGCUCUCGCAUCGAUGAAGAACGCAGCGAAAUGCGAUAAGUAAUGUGAAUUGCAGAAUUCAGUGAAUCAUCGAAUCUUUGAACGCACCUUGCGCUCCUUGGUAUUCCGAGGAGCAUGCCUGUUUGAGUGUCAUGAAAUCUUCAAUCUACAAGCUUCUUAUGGGAGUUUGUAGGCUUGGACUUGGAGGCUUGUCGGUCCUUUACAGGUCGGCUCCUCUCAAAUGCAUUAGCUUGGUUCCUUGCGGAUCGGCUUGUCGGUGUGAUAAUGUCUACGCCGCGACCGUGAAGCGUGUUUGGGCGAGCUUCUAACCGUCUCGUUACGGAGACAACUUUAUGACCUCUGACCUCAAAUCAGGUAGGACUACCCGCUGAACUUAAGCAUAUCAAUA
RNAcentral lists this ribosomal RNA (768 nucleotides) under Ganoderma gibbosum. RNAcentral describes it as "eukaryotic LSU rRNA". The stretch from base 359 to 512 matches the Rfam family "5.8S ribosomal RNA". Lineage: Eukaryota; Fungi; Basidiomycota; Agaricomycetes; Polyporales; Polyporaceae. The record is from RNAcentral.